GACGAACGCUGGCGGCGUGCUUAACACAUGCAAGUCGAACGGAAAGGCCCUGCUUUUGUGGGGUGCUCGAGUGGCGAACGGGUGAGUAACACGUGUGUAACCUGCCCUUGUCUUUGGGAUAACUUCAGGAAACUGGGGCUAAUACCGGAUAGGAUCUCCUGCUGCAUGGUGGGGGUUGGAAAGUUUCGGCGGUUGGGGAUGGACUCGCCGCUUAUCAGCUUGUUGGUGGGGUAGUGGCUUACCAAGGCUUUGACGGGUAGCCGGCCUGAGAGGGUGACCGGCCACAUUGGGACUGAGAUACGGCCCAGACUCCUACGGGAGGCAGCAGUGGGGAAUAUUGCACAAUGGGCGGAAGCCUGAUGCAGCAACGCCGCGUGCGGGAUGACGGCCUUCGGGUUGUAAACCGCUUUCGCCUGGGACGAAGCGAGAGUGACGGUAAUGGGUAAAGAAGCACCGGCUAACUACGUG
This 468-nucleotide ribosomal RNA is filed under the name uncultured bacterium. RNAcentral's name for it is "partial 16S ribosomal RNA". It matches the Rfam family "Bacterial small subunit ribosomal RNA", at positions 28 to 507 of the family's 1533-position model. The record is from RNAcentral.